RNAcentral lists this non-coding RNA (23 nucleotides) under Cricetulus griseus (Chinese hamster). The record is from RNAcentral. Lineage: Eukaryota; Metazoa; Chordata; Mammalia; Rodentia; Cricetidae.
CACACUGAACCGCUACAAGAGGG